Molecule: ribosomal RNA, 500 nt
Filed under: uncultured bacterium
Lineage: Bacteria
Description: bacterial SSU rRNA
Rfam family: Bacterial small subunit ribosomal RNA
Source: RNAcentral
CGCUGGCGGCGUGCCUAGCACAUGGCAAGUCGAGCGGGGACAUAGUGACGGAACGGAAGUUUCGGAUGGAAGGGAAGAUGAUGUGUUCUAGCGGCGGACGGGUGAGUAACGCGUGAGCAACCUGUCCUUCACAGGGGGAUAACACAGCGAAAGUUGUACUAAUACCGCAUGAGACCACGGCGGGACAUCCCGCAGGGGGUCAAAGGAGCAAUCCGGUGAAGGGUGGGCUCGCGUCCGAUUAGAUAGUUGGUGAGGUAACGGCCCACCAAGUCGACGAUCGGUAGCCGACCUGAGAGGGUGAUCGGCCACAUUGGGACUGAGACACGGCCCAAACUCCUACGGGAGGCAGCAGUGGGGAAUAUUGGGCAAUGGGGGGAACCCUGACCCAGCAACGCCGCGUGAGGGAAGAAGGUUUUCGGAUCGUAAACCUCUGUCCUUGGUGAAGAGUGAGAGACGGUAGCCAAGGAGGAAGCCCCGGCUAACUACGUGCCAGCAGCCGC